RNAcentral lists this ribosomal RNA (253 nucleotides) under uncultured bacterium. RNAcentral describes it as "partial 16S ribosomal RNA". It matches the Rfam family "Bacterial small subunit ribosomal RNA", at positions 524 to 776 of the family's 1533-position model. The record is from RNAcentral.
UACGUAGGGGGCAAGCGUUAUCCGGAUUUACUGGGUGUAAAGGGAGCGUAGACGGCUGCGCAAGUCAGAAGUGAAAGCCCGGGGCUCAACCGCGGGACUGCUUUUGAAACUGUGUAGCUAGAGUGCAGGAGAGGUAAGUGGAAUUCCUAGUGUAGCGGUGAAAUGCGUAGAUAUUAGGAGGAACACCGGUGGCGAAGGCGGCUUACUGGACUGUAACUGACGUUGAGGCUCGAAAGCGUGGGGAGCAAACAGG